GAGGAAUAUUGGUCAAUGGGCGGAAGCCUGAACCAGCCAUGCCGCGUGCAGGACGACGGCCCUACGGGUUGUAAACUGCUUUUCCGGGGGAAGAAUAAGGCCCAUGCGUGGGCCGAUGCCGGUACCCCGGGAAUAAGGAUCGGCUAACUCCGUGCCAGCAGCCGCGGUAAUACGGAGGAUCCUAGCGUUAUCCGGAUUUACUGGGUUUAAAGGGUGCGUAGGCGGGCGUUUAAGUCAGCGGUGAAAGUCUGCGGCUCAACCGUAGGACUGCCGUGGAUACUGGGCGCCUUGAAUUCGGUCGAGGCGGGCGGAAUGCGUGGUGUAGCGGUGAAAUGCUUAGAUAUCACGCAGAACGCCGAUAGCGAAGGCAGCUCGCCGGGCCGAUAUUGACGCUGAGGCACGAAAGCGUGGGGAUCAAAC
RNAcentral lists this ribosomal RNA (420 nucleotides) under uncultured bacterium. Its description in RNAcentral is "bacterial SSU rRNA". It matches the Rfam family "Bacterial small subunit ribosomal RNA", at positions 356 to 773 of the family's 1533-position model. The record is from RNAcentral.